UCUACGGGGGGCAGCAGUGGGGAAUAUUGGACAAUGGGCGAAAGCCUGAUCCAGCCAUGCCGCGUGUGUGAAGAAGGCCUUCGGGUUGUAAAGCACUUUCAGUGGGGACGAAAGCCUUGGGGCUAAUACCCUCGAGGAAGGACAUCACCCACAGAAGAAGCACCGGCUAACUCCGUGCCAGCAGCCGCGGUAAUACGGAGGGUGCGAGCGUUAAUCGGAAUUACUGGGCGUAAAGCGCGCGUAGGCGGUCUGAUAAGCCGGUUGUGAAAGCCCCGGGCUCAACCUGGGAACGGCAUCCGGAACUGUCAGGCUAGAGUGCAGGAGAGGAAGGUAGAAUUCCCGGUGUAGCGGUGAAAUGCGUAGAGAUCGGGAGGAAUACCAGUGGCGAAGGCGGCCUUCUGGACUGACACUGACGCUGAGGUGCGAAAGCGUGGGUAGCAAACAGGAUUAGAUACCCGAGUAGUC
This 465-nucleotide ribosomal RNA is filed under the name Vreelandella stevensii. RNAcentral describes it as "partial 16S ribosomal RNA". It matches the Rfam family "Bacterial small subunit ribosomal RNA", at positions 338 to 795 of the family's 1533-position model. Lineage: Bacteria; Pseudomonadati; Pseudomonadota; Gammaproteobacteria; Oceanospirillales; Halomonadaceae. The record is from RNAcentral.